UAAAGACGGUUCGCAGUUAGUUCG
This 24-nucleotide non-coding RNA is filed under the name Arabidopsis thaliana (thale cress). The record is from RNAcentral. Lineage: Eukaryota; Viridiplantae; Streptophyta; Magnoliopsida; Brassicales; Brassicaceae.